Molecule: transfer RNA, 85 nt
Filed under: Palisada intermedia
Lineage: Eukaryota; Rhodophyta; Florideophyceae; Ceramiales; Rhodomelaceae
Description: tRNA-Leu
Rfam family: tRNA
About the family: Transfer RNA (tRNA) molecules are approximately 80 nucleotides in length. Their secondary structure includes four short double-helical elements and three loops (D, anti-codon, and T loops).
Source: RNAcentral
ACAGGUAUGAUGAAAUUGGUAAACAUAUUAGACUUAGAUUCUAACACUUCUCAAAGAAAUGAGGGUUCGAGUCCCUCUACCUGUA